RNAcentral lists this ribosomal RNA (585 nucleotides) under uncultured bacterium. RNAcentral describes it as "bacterial SSU rRNA". It matches the Rfam family "Bacterial small subunit ribosomal RNA", at positions 338 to 916 of the family's 1533-position model. The record is from RNAcentral.
CCUACGGGAGGCAGCAGUGGGGAAUUUUGGACAAUGGGCGCAAGCCUGAUCCAGCAAUGCCGCGUGCAGGAUGAAGGCCUUCGGGUUGUAAACUGCUUUUGUACGGAACGAAACGGUCUGCUUUAAUACAGUGGGCUAAUGACGGUACCGUAAGAAUAAGCACCGGCUAACUACGUGCCAGCAGCCGCGGUAAUACGUAGGGUGCGAGCGUUAAUCGGAAUUACUGGGCGUAAAGCGUGCGCAGGCGGUUAUAUAAGACAGAUGUGAAAUCCCCGGGCUCAACCUGGGACCUGCAUUUGUGACUGUAUAGCUAGAGUACGGUAGAGGGGGAUGGAAUUCCGCGUGUAGCAGUGAAAUGCGUAGAUAUGCGGAGGAACACCGAUGGCGAAGGCAAUCCCCUGGACCUGUACUGACGCUCAUGCACGAAAGCGUGGGGAGCAAACAGGAUUAGAUACCCUGGUAGUCCACGCCCUAAACGAUGUCAACUGGUUGUUGGGUCUUCACUGACUCAGUAACGAAGCUAACGCGUGAAGUUGACCGCCUGGGGAGUACGGCCGCAAGGUUGAAACUUAAAGGAAUUGACGG